AACUGCGAAUGGCUCAUUAAAUCAGUUAUCGUCUAUUUGAUAGUACCUUACUACUUGGAUAACCGUGGUAAUUCUAGAGCUAAUACAUGCUGAAAACCCCGACUUCGGAAGGGAUGUAUUUAUUAGAUUAAAAACCAAUGCCCUUCUGGGCUCCCUGGUGAUUCAUGAUAACUUCUCGAAUCGCACGGCCUUGCGCCGGCGAUGGUUCAUUCAAAUUUCUGCCCUAUCAACUUUCGACGGCUGGGUCUUGGCCAGCCAUGGUGACAACGGGUAACGGAGGGUUAGGGCUCGACCCCGGAGAAGGAGCCUGAGAAACGGCUACUACAUCCAAGGAAGGCAGCAGGCGCGCAAAUUACCCAAUCCCGACACGGGGAGGUAGUGACAAUAAAUACUGAUACAGGGCUCUUUUGGGUCUUGUAAUUGGAAUGAGUACAAUUUAAUUCCCUUAACGAGGAACAAUUGGAGGGCAAGUCUGGUGCCAGCAGCCGCGGUAAUUCCAGCUCCAAUAGCGUAUAUUAAAGUUGUUGCAGUUAAAAAGCUCGUAGUUGAACCUUGGGCCUGGCUGGCCGGUCCGCCUCACCGCGUGCACUGGUCCGGCCGGGCCUUUCCCUCUGGGGAGCCGCAUGCCCUUCACUGGGCGUGCCGGGGAACCAGGACGUUUACUUUGAAAAAAUUAGAGUGUUCAAAGCAGGCUUAUGCUCGGAUACAUUAGCAUGGAAUAAUAGAAUAGGACGUGCGGUUCUAUUUUGUUGGUUUCUAGGACCGCCGUAAUGAUUAAUAGGGACAGUCGGGGGCAUCAGUAUUCAGUUGUCAGAGGUGAAAUUCUUGGAUUUACUGAAGACUAACUACUGCGAAAGCAUUUGCCCAAGGAUGUUUUUCAUUAAUCAGGAACGAAAGUUAGGGGAUCGAAGACGAUCAGAUACCGUCGUAGUCUUAACCAUAAACUAUGCCGACUAGGGAUCGGACGGUGUUAUUUUUUGACCCGUUCGGCACCUUACACGCAAAGUAC
Molecule: ribosomal RNA, 1009 nt
Filed under: Raffaelea fusca
Lineage: Eukaryota; Fungi; Ascomycota; Sordariomycetes; Ophiostomatales; Ophiostomataceae
Description: SSU rRNA
Rfam family: Eukaryotic small subunit ribosomal RNA
Source: RNAcentral